AACAUUGGCCAUACCACCCUGAAUAUGCCUCAUAUCAGAAGCUAAGCAGGGUUGGGCCUUGUUAGAACUUCCAUAGGAGACAAUUUGU
Molecule: ribosomal RNA, 88 nt
Filed under: Meriones unguiculatus (Mongolian gerbil)
Lineage: Eukaryota; Metazoa; Chordata; Mammalia; Rodentia; Muridae
Source: RNAcentral